UUGUGGAUCGGGGUUCCAAGAAGUGGGAAUUUGGAGUCCUGGGUUUCCUAGCUGUCUCUCUGCUGUCCCUCGAGCCGGGUCGAACCAGCUGCCCGAGCCCGAAGCCUUCCCAGCUCACCAUUCACAGGCGCCUCGUGGGCUCUUUUCCAUUGGCUUGGAAAGCGCGUUCAAGAAUCAUCGUUCAAUGGACUUGACCCACCGGUUGAGUAAAUGAGAUUCCAAACGCUUCCUGAUCUGGGAGGAUCCCAAGAAGAUCCCAGGGCGAGGGUCCUAGCCGGUCUCGGAGGUCAAGUAUGACUGGCGGAUCGUGGACGCUAGCUUUCCAGGGCCCCACAGGCGAGCCAGCGCAUGAAGACUUGGAAAAUCCUGCUUUCGAGUUCAAAGCAAGACAAAGUUGAUCGUUUCCACUUCGUCUACACCACAAGGCAGCUGUGAGUUCGCUAAUAGAGUGGUCUGGUUUCAGGGUUCUAGAACCUUCCCUCUACUCUCCCAGAUCCCAUCCACUGUAAAGCCACGGAGCCUGUGGUUGCUGUCCUAACAAUUUAUGGCAUUUUCACGCAACUGUAAAUGAAACUGUCUGGAAAUCACAUCGGCGCCUGCUUUGUCUUUGUACCCUACUGGGUGUCCAGGCUACAGGUAAGACUCGUGCCACCUGUAUAUGGAACUGGAGUUCUUAGAGCUGUGUUUACCUUUCAAAGAAGCUGUUUGCAGCCAGACUUUCCUAAAGUCAUUUAAAGCAAAAGCUCAGUUAAUCUCAAUUAAGUGCAUUAAACAACCUCUGCUGGAUUCUCCUGGGUGACAGAUCUCAGAACCGGGAUGAGACCUGGGGUCCCACCUGGUAACUCUAGCCAAUCAUUUUGUAUAAACAAACAACAACAAGAGACAUCUGUGUUCCGUACCGUCUCGAAACUGACUAUCUGCUUUAUAAACUCCACUUAGAAUCAUCGUCAAAUAUUGUUAUAAUCUUUUAAAAGCCAUGUGAGGCCAACAGAAAGCAUCAAAGUCCUUAUCCACCUUUAAGCCCUAACCCUUUAAGCCAGUUAAAGCCAACUUCCUAUCCCUGAGCCUGAGCUGCCGCAGAAAGCCUGAUGCUUAACUUACCAUCUCCUGCGUUUUAAUAUUCCUUUUUAAAAAACAUACUUGAUAAAUAAUGGUUCUAUUGGUUUUGCUCUUACAUGAAGGAAGCAUUAAUGUUUACUCACAGGAUGUGUGUGUGGAGUCAGUCACUCUAAGAGGAAUAAAAACUUUUAAGGUGAUUAAAGCCACCCAAAGGAAGAUUAGGAAAAAACAACUUUUCCUGAGAAGGCAAGGGACUUGUUUGACCCUUAUUUUUCUCCAUCAAUUUGCAACUACUAUACAGACAGACCCUUGUCAAUGGUAAAAAAUGUGCCUUUUAAAAUUCCCUAGAUUUAUUUUUAUUAUCUUAUGUGUAAGAGUGUUUGGCCUGUACAUAUGCCUAUGUACCACCUGUAUGUGUGCCUGGUGCCCAGAGGUGAUGCGCUUCAACAUGGGUGCUGGGAAUUGAACCCAGGUCCUUUGUAACACAAGGCAUUCUUUUAACCACUGAGCCUGCUCUCUACCCCCCCCCAAUAAUGAAAAUAUUAAUGACUAAUGGUCACUCGGUUCAUUUUCAGUCAAGAGAACAUUCAGAAGCUAUAACAGAAGUUGGAACACUUAUUAAAAUGCUAAUGAAACAAUAUAAAAAGGAUACUGUCUAGAAGCGGAAAGAGAUUAUGUUCAUAUUUUUAUUGCUAUUUGGUAACAUACAUUUUCCUAUAUUUCCCCAAGGCACAUUAACUUCAUAUACUCAGAUGGUGAUGGUGUGAUUGACAGACUAUUAUUCUGCAACAGGUUUAAGAACCAAAAUAUCCAUUCUACUUCAAUGAGUAAUCAUACUUACAGGAGAGGAAUUAUAGGAAAGAUAAUAAAGGUGGACAAAAAGUUAUGCCCAGAGAUAGUCAACUCCAAUAUUUUGUUAGGUUACAGACGAAAUUAAAGCAAUUUAAAUGUCAAUAUCAAGAAACUUGUGCCUAGUGUGCACUACAAGAAAAAAAUAUGUAUAUAUAAAGCGGUAAAACCAUGCAGUAGAACUUUAUAGUGACUAUCACAUGCUUAAUAAAAUGAUUUACAUAGAAUUUAAAUGGCCUAGGAAGACAGUUAUGAUGCUACUUAACUACAGAAAAUACUAUAAAUGAAAAAAAGUUUAAGUAUGUUAAGAAUAGCUACUUUUAUUGAGAGGUUACAAAUAACUUAUUUUCUUUAUUGUUAUAAUAUUCUACAGUGGACAUUAGUACUAGAGUUAAAAAUAACAUUUACGGCUGCUGUCGGUACACGCAUUUAAUCCUAGCACCUGAGAGGCAGAGGCAAACAGAUCUCUUGAGUUCAAGGCCAGCCUGGUCUACAGAGUGAGUUCCAGGGCAACCAGGGAUCUCCGAGAAACCUUGUCUCAAAAAAUAUACAAACAAACAAACAAACAAACAAAAACAAAACACCAUUUAUGUAUUUGUUUAAACAUACCCCAUUAACAAACAGUCUCUACAUGGCUGUCAGAACUGUCUACAGUGGAGAAUCCUCUUUCUGGUCUGUGUGAUUCCAUACAUAAAUGUGGUCAUGCACAGUACCCACGCUACACUGGCUGAAACUAGCAAGUGACCUUUGGGAGAUAGGCGAGGAGGGAAUCUGUGCGUGAGGCUUUUUCUCUCUAAGGCUGAACCGCCACCUCCAGAUGAGAAAGAGGGAACCUAUCCACUGAACCAACUCCAACUGUGAAGACACAGGAUGCCUCUCCGGCACAGAAAGUCUUUCCUAAGUAGAAAUACUUGGCUGAUAAUUUGUAUACAUGACCAGACACCACAUGCAGAUAAUCAUUGCAAAUCACUAGAGAUUACAGGAAACAUAAAGUUUAAUGUUCCUGCCAGACUCUAAUCUAUAUAUUUCACAUUAACAUUAAAUACUUUAUAAAAUAUGUGUCACGUAAUUUGUAGAUAUUUAUGGAAACCACCUGCAUGUUAAAGUUUAAGGAACUCAAACACCAACAACAGAUACCUAGAUAAAAUUUACCUAGCCAUUCGACAAACGUUUAUGGCCCACCUACAAUGAACUAUGUUCCAUAGCAGGCGCGAGAAGACAGUAUUAAAAACUAGACACUGUCCCUCUCCUCAGGAGUGUACAUUGCUAAGUGGUGACAAAUUAACACAGAAAUAAGUUGUAUUUUGAAGCUAACAUAGAGAAGUAAUUUUAAAAAAAAUUAUCCACACAAAUCCUAGUAAUUGAGCUCUGUUAAUACAGGGGAAGCUACUGUCAGCUUAGCAUGUAAAACCGAUGGAAACCACAGCCGCCUGGUGCUCUCAGUCUCUGAACACACGGCUGUGCACUGGAGUACCACUUCAGUGUUUAUGUCUUAAAGACAAUGGCCGUGGCCGUGAGCAGGGAGGAAGAACGGUGACUGCACACCGCAUGCUUAAACAUCUCCUUUCCAUGUACAUAAGGAUCUUUCAAAGCCACAAUGCUGCUGGACUAAGUGGAUACAAACCAAUCUUGGCCAUGCUGGUAACGAACUUUCCUCUGUCUCCUCUCCCAGGCUUUCACUGGGCCAUCAGCAGAGGGUGGAUUCCCUCAGGAUCUCAUCAGAGUCCUGGGGGUAAGGACUGAAACCAUCUCCCAGGAGGACGAAGCUCUAGCAUUCUGGACAGCUGACCAAGGACCCAUCCCUAACAAUCACCAAGUCCUUUCUUAUUUAUCUUGUUUUUUUGGUUUUGUUCUUUUGAGACAUCUUCUCACUAUGUAGCCUUGGCUGGCCCAGAGCGUGCUCUGUCCAUCAGGCUCGGCUCAGCAGAUCAACCCACCUCUGCUUCCUGAGUGUUGGUAUUAAAGGCUUUGCCCCACUAUGCCUAGCCUUUUGAAAAAUACAUCUCUACUGAAAUGAAAGGGUAACACAAGACCAGCGCUUUAUUCCAGGCCCCACAGGGCUCCACUCAGGCCUUCACCCCACACCCUGCCGUUGCCUUGGGAACCCCCUCUCCUUGGGGACCCCCUCUCCCUGGGGACGCCUUCUCCCUGGAGACCCCCUCUCCUUGGAGACUCCCUCUCCUUGGGGACUCCCUCUCCUUGGGGACCCCCUCUCCCUGGGGACGCCUUCUCCCUGGAGACUCCCUCUCCUUGGGGACCCCCUCUACCUGGGGACGCCCUGUCCUUGGGACCCCCUCUCCUUGGAGACCCCCUCUCCUUGGGGACCCCCCUCUCCCUGGGGACGCCCUCUCCUUGGGACUCCCUCUCCUUGGGGAACCCUCUCCCUGGGGACUCCCUCUCCUUGGGGACUCCCUCUCCUUGGGGACCCCCUCUCCUUGGAGACCCCCUCUCCCUGGGGACGCCCUCUCCCUGGGGAUGCCCUCUCCUUGGGACCCCCUCUCCUUGGGACUCCCUCUCCUUGGGAACCCCCUCUCCUUGGGGACUCCCUCUCCUUGGGACCCCCUCUCCUUGGGGACUCCCUCUCCUUGGGGAUCCCCUCUCCUUGGGGGGGACUCCCUCUCCAAGCUGUCCGGGUUUCACAGGAUGCUGCAUUUUUAAUAUUAAAGCCGCUAUUACAGAAAA
This is a long non-coding RNA of Mus musculus (house mouse), 4590 nucleotides long. RefSeq annotates it as predicted gene, 32342. The record is from RefSeq and is a predicted model, not a curated record. Lineage: Eukaryota; Metazoa; Chordata; Mammalia; Rodentia; Muridae. The transcript is spliced from 3 exons.